GCCCGGGUGGUGAAAUUGGUAGACGCAGGGGACUCAAAAUCCCCCGCCGCAAGGCGUGCCGGUUCGAGUCCGGCCCCGGGCACCA
This 85-nucleotide transfer RNA is filed under the name Comamonas sp. RNAcentral describes it as "tRNA-Leu". It matches the Rfam family "tRNA". From Rfam's summary of the family: Transfer RNA (tRNA) molecules are approximately 80 nucleotides in length. Their secondary structure includes four short double-helical elements and three loops (D, anti-codon, and T loops). Lineage: Bacteria; Pseudomonadati; Pseudomonadota; Betaproteobacteria; Burkholderiales; Comamonadaceae. RNAcentral also lists the same sequence under 8 other names. The record is from RNAcentral.